Molecule: ribosomal RNA, 1058 nt
Filed under: Lactobacillus sp. KC38
Lineage: Bacteria; Bacillati; Bacillota; Bacilli; Lactobacillales; Lactobacillaceae
Description: bacterial SSU rRNA
Rfam family: Bacterial small subunit ribosomal RNA
Source: RNAcentral
GCGUGCCUAAUACAUGCAAGUCGAGCGAGCUGCCUAUUGAAAUUCUUCGGAAUGGACAUAGAUACAAGCUAGCGGCGGAUGGGUGAGUAACGCGUGGGUAACCUGCCCUUAAGUCUGGGAUACCAUUUGGAAACAGAUGCUAAUACCGGAUAAAAGCUACUUUCGCAUGAAAGAAGUUUAAAAGGCGGCGUAAGCUGCGCUAAAGGAUGGACCUGCGAUGCAUUAGCUAGUUGGUAAGGUAACGGCUUACCAAGGCGAUGAUGCAUAGCCGAGUUGAGAGACUGAUCGGCCACAUUGGGACUGAGACACGGCCCAAACUCCUACGGGAGGCAGCAGUAGGGAAUCUUCCACAAUGGACGCAAGUCUGAUGGAGCAACGCCGCGUGAGUGAAGAAGGUUUUCGGAUCGUAAAGCUCUGUUGUUGGUGAAGAAGGAUAGAGGUAGUAACUGGCCUUUAUUUGACGGUAAUCAACCAGAAAGUCACGGCUAACUACGUGCCAGCAGCCGCGGUAAUACGUAGGUGGCAAGCGUUGUCCGGAUUUAUUGGGCGUAAAGCGAGUGCAGGCGGUUCAAUAAGUCUGAUGUGAAAGCCUUCGGCUCAACCGGAGAAUUGCAUCAGAAACUGUUGAACUUGAGUGCAGAAGAGGAGAGUGGAACUCCAUGUGUAGCGGUGGAAUGCGUAGAUAUAUGGAAGAACACCAGUGGCGAAGGCGGCUCUCUGGUCUGCAACUGACGCUGAGGCUCGAAAGCAUGGGUAGCGAACAGGAUUAGAUACCCUGGUAGUCCAUGCCGUAAACGAUGAGUGCUAAGUGUUGGGAGGUUUCCGCCUCUCAGUGCUGCAGCUAACGCAUUAAGCACUCCGCCUGGGGAGUACGACCGCAAGGUUGAAACUCAAAGGAAUUGACGGGGGCCCGCACAAGCGGUGGAGCAUGUGGUUUAAUUCGAAGCAACGCGAAGAACCUUACCAGGUCUUGACAUCCAGUGCAAACCUAAGAGAUUAGGAGUUCCUUUCGGGGACGCUGAGACAGGUGGUGCAUGGCUGUCGUCAGCUCGUGUCGU